Molecule: ribosomal RNA, 199 nt
Filed under: uncultured bacterium
Lineage: Bacteria
Description: partial 16S ribosomal RNA
Rfam family: Bacterial small subunit ribosomal RNA
Source: RNAcentral
GGCUGAAAUUCGCCUUCAUGAAGCCGGAAUUGCUAGUAAUGGCAGGUCAGCAUACUGCCGUGAAUACGUUCCCGGGCCCUUGUACACACCGCCCGUCACACCAUGAGAGUUGGGGAUACCCGAAGCCUGUGAGCUAACAGUAAUGAAGCAGCAGUCGAAGGUAGAAUCAAUGAUUGGGGUGAAGUCGUAACAAGGUAGC